This 523-nucleotide ribosomal RNA is filed under the name Pseudomonas sp. NZCH5. Its description in RNAcentral is "bacterial SSU rRNA". It matches the Rfam family "Bacterial small subunit ribosomal RNA", at positions 8 to 526 of the family's 1533-position model. The record is from RNAcentral. Lineage: Bacteria; Pseudomonadati; Pseudomonadota; Gammaproteobacteria; Pseudomonadales; Pseudomonadaceae.
AGAGUUUGAUCCUGGCUCAGAUUGAACGCUGGCGGCAGGCCUAACACAUGCAAGUCGAGCCGUAGAGAGAAGCUUGCUUCUCUUGAGAGCGGCGGACGGGUGAGUAAUGCCUAGGAAUCUGCCUGGUAGUGGGGGAUAACGUUCGGAAACGAACGCUAAUACCGCAUACGUCCUACGGGAGAAAGCAGGGGACCUUCGGGCCUUGCGCUAUCAGAUGAGCCUAGGUCGGAUUAGCUAGUUGGUGAGGUAAUGGCUCACCAAGGCGACGAUCCGUAACUGGUCUGAGAGGAUGAUCAGUCACACUGGAACUGAGACACGGUCCAGACUCCUACGGGAGGCAGCAGUGGGGAAUAUUGGACAAUGGGCGAAAGCCUGAUCCAGCCAUGCCGCGUGUGUGAAGAAGGUCUUCGGAUUGUAAAGCACUUUAAGUUGGGAGGAAGGGCAUUAACCUAAUACGUUAGUGUUUUGACGUUACCGACAGAAUAAGCACCGGCUAACUCUGUGCCAGCAGCCGCGGUAAUAC